UAGCCGUAAACGAUACUCGCUAGGUGUCGGCCACGGUGCGACCGUUGUCGGUGCCGUAGGGAAGCCGUGAAGCGAGCCACCUGGGAAGUACGGCCGCAAGGCUGAAACUUAAAGGAAUUUGGCGGGGGAGCACAACAACGGGUGGAGCUUGCGGUUUAAUUGGAUUCAACGCCGGAAAUCUUACCGGGACCGACAGCAACAUGAAGGCCAAGCUGAAGACUUUGCCGGAUUAGCUGAGAGGAGGUGCAUGGCGUAGUCGUGU
Molecule: ribosomal RNA, 262 nt
Filed under: uncultured archaeon
Lineage: Archaea
Description: partial 16S ribosomal RNA
Rfam family: Archaeal small subunit ribosomal RNA
Source: RNAcentral